This 330-nucleotide unclassified non-coding RNA is filed under the name soil metagenome. Its description in RNAcentral is "partial contains 5.8S ribosomal RNA, internal transcribed spacer 2, and large subunit ribosomal RNA". The stretch from base 1 to 120 matches the Rfam family "5.8S ribosomal RNA", at positions 35 to 154 of the family's 154-position model. The record is from RNAcentral.
GAUGAAGAACGUAGCGAAAUGCGAUAAGUAAUGUGAAUUGCAGAAUUUAGUGAAUCAUCGAAUCUUUGAACGCACAUUGCGCCCUCUGGUAUUCCGGGGGGCAUGCCUGUUCGAGCGUCAUUAUAACCACUCAAGCUCUCGCUUGGUAUUGGGGUUCGCGGUUUCGCGGCCCCUAAAAUCAGUGGCGGUGCCUGUCGGCUCUACGCGUAGUAAUACUCCUCGCGAUUGAGUCCGGUAGGUCUACUUGCCAGCAACCCCUAAUUUUUUUAAGGUUGACCUCGGAUCAGGUAGGGAUACCCGCUGAACUUAAGCAUAUCAAUAAGCGGAGGA